RNAcentral lists this long non-coding RNA (310 nucleotides) under Anas platyrhynchos platyrhynchos (common mallard). Its description in RNAcentral is "lncRNA (ENSAPLG00000018192.1)". The record is from RNAcentral. Lineage: Eukaryota; Metazoa; Chordata; Aves; Anseriformes; Anatidae.
CACUUACUCUCCUUUGAAUUCAAGGAAGGAAUAUAUCCCUACUUCCGACUGUCUCUUUCAUCCUGCAUUACCAACCUUCUUUGGCAGCUCAUUUUUCUCCAAGAAAGAUGUCGCUGGAGCUGUUCUGGCAUCAUAUUCAUUCCUCAAGAAUCUACUAUUGGCUACUGGAAGAGACAGGAUUACCCUGACCUAAUGUGACAAAUCUUACAUACCUUACCCUAGGGACUGCAGAAGAACAACCCCUGGCAAAGGACACCUGCAUGAGUUCUUGGAAAAAAUAAAAAAUAAAACCAAGAGAAAAAGAGAGUCA